RNAcentral lists this ribosomal RNA (123 nucleotides) under Raphia farinifera. RNAcentral describes it as "partial 18S ribosomal RNA". It matches the Rfam family "Eukaryotic small subunit ribosomal RNA", at positions 1713 to 1831 of the family's 1831-position model. The record is from RNAcentral. Lineage: Eukaryota; Viridiplantae; Streptophyta; Magnoliopsida; Arecales; Arecaceae.
GAUCGUGGUGAUGUGAGCGGUCUGCCACCCACGACAUCAUGAGAAGUCCACUGAACCAUAUCAUUUAGAGGAAGGAGAAGUCAUAACAAGGUUUCCCUAGGUGAACCUAUGGAAGGAUCAUUG